Molecule: ribosomal RNA, 121 nt
Filed under: Lupinus angustifolius (narrow-leaved blue lupine)
Lineage: Eukaryota; Viridiplantae; Streptophyta; Magnoliopsida; Fabales; Fabaceae
Source: RNAcentral
AGGUGUGAUCAUACCAGCACUAAUGCAUCGGAUCUUAUCAGAACUCUACAGUUAAGCGUGUCUGGGCGAGACUAGUACUAGGAUGGGUGACCUCCUAGGAAGUCCUCCUGUAUCUCCACUA